RNAcentral lists this ribosomal RNA (758 nucleotides) under marine bacterium CS-54. Its description in RNAcentral is "bacterial SSU rRNA". It matches the Rfam family "Bacterial small subunit ribosomal RNA", at positions 38 to 780 of the family's 1533-position model. The record is from RNAcentral.
AGCGGCGUGCUAUACAUGCAAGUCGAGCGGACAGAAGGGAGCUUGCUCCCGGAUGUUAGCGGCGGACGGGUGAGUAACACGUGGGUAACCUGCCUGUAAGACUGGGAUAACUCCGGGAAACCGGAGCUAAUACCGGAUAGUUCCUUGAACCGCAUGGUUCAAGGAUGAAAGACGGUUUCGGCUGUCACUUACAGAUGGACCCGCGGCGCAUUAGCUAGUUGGUGGGGUAAUGGCUCACCAAGGCGACGAUGCGUAGCCGACCUGAGAGGGUGAUCGGCCACACUGGGACUGAGACACGGCCCAGACUCCUACGGGAGGCAGCAGUAGGGAAUCUUCCGCAAUGGACGAAAGUCUGACGGAGCAACGCCGCGUGAGUGAUGAAGGUUUUCGGAUCGUAAAGCUCUGUUGUUAGGGAAGAACAAGUGCGAGAGUAACUGCUCGCACCUUGACGGUACCUAACCAGAAAGCCACGGCUAACUACGUGCCAGCAGCCGCGGUAAUACGUAGGUGGCAAGCGUUGUCCGGAAUUAUUGGGCGUAAAGGGCUCGCAGGCGGUUUCUUAAGUCUGAUGUGAAAGCCCCCGGCUCAACCGGGGGAGGGUCAUUGGAAACUGGGAAACUUGAGUGCAGAAGAGGAGAGUGGAAUUCCACGUGUAGCGGUGAAAUGCGUAGAGAUGUGGAGGAACACCAGUGGCGAAGGCGACUCUCUGGUCUGUAACUGACGCUAAGGAGCAAAAGCCUGGGGAGCAUACUAGAUUA